UACGGGGGGGGCAAGCGUUGUUCGGAAUUACUGGGCGUAAAGGGCUCGUAGGUGGCCAACUAAGUCAGACGUGAAAUCCCUCGGCUUAACCGGGGAACUGCGUCUGAUACUGGAUGGCUUGAGUUUGGGAGAGGGAUGCGGAAUUCCAGGUGUAGCGGUGAAAUGCGUAGAUAUCUGGAGGAACACCGGUGGCGAAGGCGGCAUCCUAGACCAACACUGACACUGAGGAGCGAAAGCCAGGGGAGCAAACGGG
Molecule: ribosomal RNA, 253 nt
Filed under: uncultured bacterium
Lineage: Bacteria
Description: partial 16S ribosomal RNA
Rfam family: Bacterial small subunit ribosomal RNA
Source: RNAcentral